AACUUUCAGCAACGGAUCUCUGGCUCUCGCAUCGAUGAAGGACGCAGCGAAUCGCGAUAAGUAAUGUGAAUUGCAGAUUUUCCGUGAAUCAUCGAAUCUUUGAACGCACCUUUGGCUCCUUGGA
This 124-nucleotide ribosomal RNA is filed under the name Pisolithus microcarpus. Its description in RNAcentral is "5.8S ribosomal RNA". It matches the Rfam family "5.8S ribosomal RNA", at positions 1 to 122 of the family's 154-position model. From Rfam's summary of the family: 5.8S ribosomal RNA (5.8S rRNA) is a component of the large subunit of the eukaryotic ribosome. It is transcribed by RNA polymerase I as part of the 45S precursor that also contains 18S and 28S rRNA. Functionally, it is thought that 5.8S rRNA may be involved in ribosome translocation. The record is from RNAcentral. Lineage: Eukaryota; Fungi; Basidiomycota; Agaricomycetes; Boletales; Pisolithaceae.